GACACGCUCGGCAAAUUCGGGGGCGCCGGCGCCGGGUCGAC
RNAcentral lists this non-coding RNA (41 nucleotides) under Pelagomonas calceolata. Lineage: Eukaryota; Pelagophyceae; Pelagomonadales; Pelagomonadaceae. The record is from RNAcentral.